This 408-nucleotide small RNA is filed under the name Pan troglodytes (chimpanzee). Its description in RNAcentral is "processed transcript". The record is from RNAcentral. RNAcentral also lists the same sequence under 1 other name. Lineage: Eukaryota; Metazoa; Chordata; Mammalia; Primates; Hominidae.
CAGUUUGCCGGCUUUUUGGACUCUCCCUGAGUUGGGCCAAUCCAGUGGCUUACAGUUAGAAACUUCAUUCCACUGAAAUAUUGAGAUUGUAGGAAGGGAUUUGUCUCCUUGUGGAAUUCCUACAGAGGCACCAGAGCAAUGGAGCUGUCAUUGCCCGCUGUGGACAGCCAGAGGUUAGCUGGUGGGGCUGGCGAAAUGCAGAUGAUGAGCAUCUGGUACAGUCAGUAGCCAAAGCUUGUGCCUCUGACUCCCGAUCGAGUGGCAGCAAGCUGUCAACUAGGAACACUUCUCGAGACUUUCCCAAUGGGGGAGACCUUUCUGACGUGGAGUUCGAUUCUUCUCUGUCAAAUGCUUCAGGAGCAGAGAGUUUAGCCAUCCAACCGCAGAAGCUUUUGAUCUUGGAUGCAC